UGUGGUUAAAACUUAUUCAUCUUACGUUUUUGAUGUAAGGCAUUUUUUGUUGCUUGAAAUGUAUGAAGUGACACAUAUAAACUACUUUUGCGAGUAGUUGGAGUGAGCGUGUUGUUUGGGGGGUGGGGUAUUCGCAGGGUAUAGAUCACAAAUUUGAGAUUUUCUGAUGGCAUGGCAAAGAUGUAAUUUCCCUUUUUUACCCAUGUAGUGAUUUGUGACUCCAGAUUUAGCUCAAGGAGUGGCACGUGAAAAGACUCCAAGCCUGGAGAAAAGAGGAGCAUCUGUAUUAAAAACUGACUGGACUCCACAAGCUAGGAAGUGAGUGUGAAAUGCCCAUGACAGGGAAAAAGUUUCUGAAGGUCAUCGUGGAGCUCCUUCUGGCAAUCCCUGGGCUGAGGAGCCUCAACUCUCGUUCAGAAUGUGACGUGGAGAGUGAAUGGUGCCCAUGACUGAUCUGGAGACCUUUGACAUGAUGUCCAAGGAAAUAAAUGACAAACAAGAUGCAAGACUGAAUGACUGAAUGAUUAAGCUUGGAAUUGGUUAGUCAAAAUUUUGCAUGUCCCCCCCCUCACUCUUGAUAGCUUACAAAUGGAACCUGUAGGGUUCUGUUUGGUUUAAUUGCUGUACUGUCAAAGUUACUGACUUUUCAGUUAUUUUUUGCUUGAUUUACAAGAAAAAAAGUCCUCAAUUCAAUUUUGUCUACACUUAAUUCCACUCUUCUGAGACACUGUUCGUAAUUCCUUGUAUACAGAUUGCAAAGCAGUCUGGUGUUAGGAGGCCGCUGAUUUGAAGACCUGCUUGUUUCCAAGACCAUGGACAGUUAUGAUUAGUUUGACAUCUGUACUGUACAUUACAAAAAGACAACAGUGAAGCUUACGAUGUGGUGGCUGCGCUCAAUGUUGACUUUUUUUUUUUUCCUGUUGUAGACUCUACACAAAUGACAAUGACAACGUUCAAUAUGCGUGCUCGUGUGACUCGUGCUGAGGGCCCUCAGGAAGACUACUCUGAUAGUGCUGGUAAAAAAAA
This is a long non-coding RNA of Syngnathus acus (greater pipefish), 1026 nucleotides long. RefSeq lists it as uncharacterized. The record is from RefSeq and is a predicted model, not a curated record. The transcript has 5 exons. Lineage: Eukaryota; Metazoa; Chordata; Actinopteri; Syngnathiformes; Syngnathidae.